RNAcentral lists this ribosomal RNA (254 nucleotides) under uncultured bacterium. RNAcentral describes it as "partial 16S ribosomal RNA". It matches the Rfam family "Bacterial small subunit ribosomal RNA", at positions 524 to 776 of the family's 1533-position model. The record is from RNAcentral.
UACGUAGGGUGCAAGCGUUGUCCGGAAUUAUUGGGCGUAAAGAGCUCGUAGGCGGUUUGUCGCGUCUGCUGUGAAAACCCGAGGCUCAACCUCGGGCCUGCAGUGGGUACGGGGCAGACUAGAGUGCGGUAGGGGAGAUUGGAAUUCCUGGUGUAGCGGUGGAAUGCGCAGAUAUCAGGAGGAACACCAAUGGCGAAGGCAGAUCUCUGGGCCGUAACUGACGCUGAGGAGCGAAAGCAUGGGGAGCGAACAGG